AGCGCCUCAGAUGUUAUAAGUCUGAGUGAGGUAUCUGCAUUUCAAAGGUAAACUGUAUGUUGAAUCACCAUUGCCCUAUCAGUACACAAUUUAAGUUAAUAGCAAAGACACAGGAAAAACUAGGCAAGAGGGGAAAUAACUUAGAUAGCCACCAAGAAUUCAGUGUACGUAUGCACAAAAUCCAGUGUUUGAUAUCCUGCCUGGGAUUCAACGUACUUGGCCUUCCUCUCUUCCUCCUCCCUGGCAGUCCAGGGACCUCAACUUUAGCUAUUUUCCCAGAUCUAGCUCAUAGAGACUACCAGAAGAGAGACUAUAACUAGGAUGACUUACAUUAUUCUUAUAGAUACUGAUCUGCAACAGUCUGUCCCCAUGUCACCACUCUAGGAUGCAAAUAUUAAACACAGUGGGAAACAAAUAGUGUUUACAAGCAUUGAGGGUGGGGUAGGGUCUGAUUUUCCUGCUGGAAACAAAUGAUAUUUAUGUCCACCUAAUUGUUUCGAACUCAAAAUGAUAUGUAUUUUCAUUCAAGAUGGAAAGGAAGUAAUGGCUCCCAAGACAGAAGAGCAAAUAUUUUUAUCUUUGAAAGCAAAAGCCUUAGUAACAAAAAAGAUCCACAAUUUUUAAGCUUGAAAAAGCCUUUCAAAAGAUCUAAUACAGAAUUUCCAAAAACCAGUACGACUUGCAAGACAUUCCGUGGAAAAAAGUUUUGUGACCAAACAGAUUUGGGAACUGUCACAGGUAAUGCUAUUCUCCUUCCAGAUUUCCACAGCACUGGGCAUAUUAGAAGCUCUGAGAAGUUUUGCCAUAAAGAUACACUCUAACCAUGUGUUUCCUUUAAAGGAGGAAACUAGAAAGGAGGUGACACAUUGAGGUCACACAGAGUACCACAUCUGUCAAAGGAAAGAUCAACAGGCAAUGUCAAAUUUUAAGGAGAAUGUGACUCAAGGAAGUUCUUGAAGGACAAUAUAUAUAAAAAUACGAAAUCAGAAGCACACAAGACAUACUUUUCAGAAGUCAGUGAUGACAGGUUGUCCACCUGGCCUCCAGCCAAGAUGAUAUUCAUAUCACUGAAAGUGCUGACUACUUGCUGCAGAUAAUUACUGGCUCCCACCUUACAGCAAUUAUAACCAAAGACAAGGACCACACGAAGUUCAGGGUUAUCUAAAAGACCUGCAGAGAAAUGAAGAGCAACAGUUAAAGACAGCCUUAAAACAGAAAUUAUUUUAUACAUGCUGCAAAAUUAAAUGUUACUGACUUGCACUCCUCCUUAAGGGCAA
Molecule: long non-coding RNA, 1277 nt
Filed under: Pan troglodytes (chimpanzee)
Lineage: Eukaryota; Metazoa; Chordata; Mammalia; Primates; Hominidae
Description: long non-coding RNA NONPTRT005730
Source: RNAcentral